AUUCACAAUGUGUUUGAUGUGAUGUGUCUCCAAAAAGUGAACAGGCUGGACUGGUGAGAUCCUUCACAUCAGACACACCCACUUAAAUGCCAGGAAGUCAGGUGUAUAAAUAACCACAACACAGAGACACAAUAGACAUAACUUCACAUUUAAAGGGUGCUGUCUGCUGGUGUGACAUUUGAGAAAAUGAAACCUCAGGUUGUGUUCCUGCUCUUUGCUCUUGUGCUCAUGCUCACAGCUAAUGCUGCUGAUGACGAUAAAGUCAUUCCAGGGGAAGAAGCCCUUGCACAGAUCCUAGGACACACCGUCCACGCCAGCACAGAGACUCCAAGUCCUGUACCGAAUGAGGAGGAUGGACCUGGAAAUGAAUGAGCGCCAAAUGAAAACCAGCUUUGAAAUCCUUUCUUUAAAUUUGUUCAAAACUGUUAACCAUGGCAUUUAUUAAAGACUGGAUGCAAAAAAAAAUGGUGUUGUGUUUGUUUCAGUUUAAUAUGUAGUUUGAGUGAAUAUCAAAAAGAGUUGUAGUGAAACCCCAGAGGUUACAUCAUAGGGACAAAAGAUUAUGACUAAAAUAUGAUUUUUGACUAUGUUACAUCUGGUCUCAUGAUAGUUCUUUGUUCUUCGUCUG
Sphaeramia orbicularis (orbiculate cardinalfish) is the source of this 628-nucleotide long non-coding RNA. RefSeq lists it as uncharacterized. The record is from RefSeq and is a predicted model, not a curated record. The transcript is spliced from 4 exons. NCBI's taxonomy places the organism in Eukaryota, Metazoa, Chordata, Actinopteri, Kurtiformes, Apogonidae.